RNAcentral lists this long non-coding RNA (2667 nucleotides) under Lactuca sativa (garden lettuce). Its description in RNAcentral is "long non-coding RNA (LSAT_LNC004189)". Lineage: Eukaryota; Viridiplantae; Streptophyta; Magnoliopsida; Asterales; Asteraceae. The record is from RNAcentral.
CCAAACCUAUCAACUUCAACACCAUGUUCACUCUUCCUGAUUCAUCGAUGGAGGCUUGUCGCUUUCCCUAUCGUGGUCCUGCAAUUGUUGAUGCCAAUGAAGGGAGCUGGUCCCAUUCCUUUACAUGUUCCAUUGGCCAUUAAAAUCAAGAGUAACACUCCAAUAUGUUUGGAGCCCUUCUCUUCAAUCUGCAAUUUCGAAAAUUAGUGAGAGAAAGAGAAAUUUAGCAUAGUGAGGGUUGUCGUAUGCGGUUGUGCGAGCUCCGGUGGUCUCUUGAGCACCCGAUGAUGUUCGUGGUCUCUUCCGAUAAGUGUAGACGGUGUCCUUCGGUAGUAGAAUGGAGAGAAUUAUGAAGUCUUUAAAGGUUAUUCCCCUGUCAUCGUCCAAACCAGAUAACCGAUCGAUGGUAGCAGGAACAUCAAGAGUGUUUGAGUGAGGUGAGCUCGAUUUUCAAAGAUGCCGAAGACAUCAGGCUCAUAGUGGCAUAUUCUCUUGAGCCACAUGUGAGAACUGAACCAGACUAAGGACGAGAGUGAAAAGUAAUUGCUCUUGUUUUCUUCUUUCCGCAGCUUAAUCUCAGGUGCAAGUGAGUUUAGAUCCUGUCGAAUCAUCCUUUCAAUUGUGCUUUGUCUCCAUCUCCAUGGCUACACCCAAGAAGCGUUCCAGACGGAGGGAAUGAGGAUUUGCGGAUGACCAGGUCAAUUGAAGAAAUGGAGACAUUGGGGAUGAGGUGAGUUUCAAGCAUUGAUGAAGGAAACUUCUUGAAUUCCAUUGGAGCGUAGGAGGAGUUUAGUGCCGCAUUGCUAGGUCCGACAUGGGAGCCAUUAGCCAGAAGCUUGUGGUUCGAUGUCCUCAAAAUGGAAUGCGUCGUCGGAGGUUGAUUGCACUGACCCUCUGAGGACGCAAUUGGUGAGCGAGUUCAAGCAGGGAUGGAGUACUGGGACCUAAUCCUAAUCCACCGCAUCUUUUAAGGUAUUCGGAUUUAAUUCAUUUGGGCUAAUAUCAUAUAGGUUCAAUUAGUUUAUUUUGGGCUAGUAUCAUAUGGAUUCAAUUAGUUUAUUUUUAGGCUAAGUGACAUUAGGUUUAAGUUCAAGAUAAAUAUAAUAUAAUGUAAAGCCUUAUUAUUUAUAAUUAAAAUAAAAAUGGAUUUUCGUUAUCUAAUUUAGUAGAUGGCAAAUAAUUAUGAAUAUGGUUUGGGUAAAUUAAUUACAAGGUAAUUAAUUUAAUAAGAAUUAACCACAUUGAUAAAGCUGUAUGGAUUUUCUUAGGUCUAGGAUUUUAAUAUAGUAUGGUUAAAAUAUUAACGACUUUUAUGUAUAGUAUUUUAACGAGAAGGGCUCUAGGAGUUAACAUUUCCCCACAUAAUAAUGCAAGUAAAUAAAAAGUAUAUUAUGAAAUAUUAAUGAGUAAUAUUUGAAGUAUGAACUAUGUAAGGAGUAUUAAUAUCAUUAUAGGUGACCAGAGAGCAGAGAAUCAGUCUCAGCCGUUUUGGUAGUAUAUUUUGUGUUUUGCUGCUUCAGGUGAGUUUCCUCAUUGUUUGUAUGGGUCUAAGGCACCAAUCCCAACCCAUUUAGUUUAUGUAUGGUAGGAAAACCAGGUGGUUAUCCCUAGGCAUUAUAUGUUAUCCCUAGGCAUUAUAUAUGAAAGACUAGGAGGUGGCUCUUGGCACACUGUAUGCUAUUAUGUAUGAAAGACCAGGAAGCUGCUCCUAGCACACUCUAUGUUAUUAUGUAUGGUAGGAAGACCCGGGGGUUAGCCCAAGAAAUUAUGUAUGAAGGACCAGGUAGUGGCUUCUGACACACUGUAUUCUAUUAUGUAUGAAAGUCCAGGAGGUGGCUCCUGGCACACUGUAUGCUAAUUGGCUAAUUAGAGUAGUAUGUAUGCUAGUUGUGUUGGUGAUGCUUGCAUGGAAGACUAGGAGGUGGCCCUUGGCACUUGUCUGUGAGACCAAGGGGGUGGCCCCUGGCUUGGCAAAAAAGACCACGUGGUGGCUCGUGGCAUAAUGGCAAGACUAUGUUUGGCACAUAGAAUCUUUACUGAUUAUGAUAUAUGUAUGGCUCAUGGUUAUGUAUGACAGUAUGCGAGUAUGUGUUUAUAUGCAAGACAGUAUCCGGUUGAAAGAGACCGAAGGGGUAGGCUAGCACCCAGAUAUGCUAGACAACAUGUUGAUAUGUAUGCUAUGUGGUAUUUGGGGAACUCACUAAGCUUCGUGCUUACGGUUUUCAGUUUUGGUUUCAGGUACUUCGUUUUCAAAGGAAAGGAAUCGGCUUGAUCGCAUCGCAUCACACUAUAUUUCCGCACAUGAGAUCUUUGGGAUUACACUCUGAUAUUGUUUUAUGAUAACAUAUUUUGAUUAUUUCUACUUUGGUUUUGACAAGACAUGAUGUUAUGGAUGUUUUAUUAUACUGAUGGUUUUAUAAUAACGUAUUUAAAAUGAAAUUUUUGGCCUGUAUUUUUGGGAUGUUACACAUUUGAGUUUGAAGCAUUGUUUGAAGCAGACAUUUGAAAAGAAAGACAAGUUUCAUUAGAUAGAAAUUCCUUAAUAUCACGCCUAAAUGAAAUAUUAAGGCUAGGACCCAACACAAUAUUUCACAAUUCUGAAGAGGGAUGCUGUAAACCAAUUGCAAAAUAUUUGAAGGUAGAUAAAUGACGAUUUACCAAUUUCAC